ACGGAGGGUGCGAGCGUUGUCCGGAAUCACUGGGCGUAAAGGGCGCGCAGGCGGCGCGAGCAGUCGGCGGUGAAAGCCCGGAGCUCAACUCCGGGUCGGCCGUCGAUACUCUCGUGCUUGAGCACUGUAGAGGCAGGUGGAAUUCCGGGUGUAGCGGUGGAAUGCGUAGAGAUCCGGAAGAACACCGGUGGCGAAGGCGGCCUGCUGGGUUCUGGCUGACACUGAGGCGCGACAGCGUGGGGAGCAAACAGGA
Molecule: ribosomal RNA, 253 nt
Filed under: uncultured prokaryote
Description: partial 16S ribosomal RNA
Rfam family: Bacterial small subunit ribosomal RNA
Source: RNAcentral